UGUGAAUAAAGGGAACUGGUUGAAGGUGCAUGGCCUCCAUUUUAUCUUUGUCUUAACGGAGACAUUACACUAAGGUGAAUCCAGCUUCUGUAACUCGGAAAUUUAAUGGAGACUGGAAAAAACUUACCCUUGGGUAGAGCUGAAAGAAGGGGAAGCUGAAGGGGGGAUGGUUUGCACCCUUUGCUCUAAAGCAAAAAAAAAAA
Long non-coding RNA from Lingula anatina, 203 nucleotides. NCBI's taxonomy places the organism in Eukaryota, Metazoa, Brachiopoda, Lingulata, Lingulida, Lingulidae. The record is from RefSeq and is a predicted model, not a curated record.